GCCGACGUAGCUCAGGUGGUCAGAGCGCUCCGCUCAUAACGGAGAGGCCACGGGCUCGAAUCCCGUCGUCGGCACCA
Molecule: transfer RNA, 77 nt
Filed under: Micromonospora krabiensis
Lineage: Bacteria; Bacillati; Actinomycetota; Actinomycetes; Micromonosporales; Micromonosporaceae
Description: tRNA_Met_CAT
Rfam family: tRNA
About the family: Transfer RNA (tRNA) molecules are approximately 80 nucleotides in length. Their secondary structure includes four short double-helical elements and three loops (D, anti-codon, and T loops).
Source: RNAcentral